This 145-nucleotide unclassified non-coding RNA is filed under the name soil metagenome. RNAcentral's name for it is "partial internal transcribed spacer 1". The record is from RNAcentral.
UAAUAAGUGUUUUAUGGCACUUUUUAAAUCCAUAUCCACCUUGUGUGCAAUGUCAGUCGAUCUUCUUCAUGGAGAUCGACCAAACAUCAACCUUUAUCUUUUAACUCUUUGUCUGAAAAAUAUUAUGAAUAAACAAUUCUAAAUA